GACGAACGCUGGCGGCGUGCUUAACACAUGCAAGUCGAACGGAAAGGCCCUGCUUUUGUGUGGUGCUCGAGUGGCGAACGGGUGAGUAACACGUGAGUAACCUGCCCUUGACUUUGGGAUAACUUCAGGAAACUGGUGCUAAUACCUGAUAGGAGCUCCUGCUGCAUGGUGGUGGUUGGAAAGUUUCGGCGGUGGGGGAUGGACUCGCGGCUUAUCAGCUUGUUGGGUGGGUAGUUGCUUACCAAGGCUUUGACGGGUAGCCUGCAUGAGAGGUGGACCGGCGACAUUGGGACUACGGUACGGACCAGAGUGGUAUGGGAGACAGUAGGGGGAAACCUUGUACAAUGGGCGGAAGCCUGAUGAAGAAGCGCCGGGUGUGGGAUGAAGGUCUUGUGGUUGUAAACCGCAUUAGCCUGUGACCAAGCGUGAGUGACGGUAAUGGGUAAAGAAGCACCGGCUAACUACGUG
This 468-nucleotide ribosomal RNA is filed under the name uncultured bacterium. Its description in RNAcentral is "partial 16S ribosomal RNA". It matches the Rfam family "Bacterial small subunit ribosomal RNA", at positions 28 to 507 of the family's 1533-position model. The record is from RNAcentral.